This 256-nucleotide ribosomal RNA is filed under the name uncultured bacterium. Its description in RNAcentral is "partial 16S ribosomal RNA". It matches the Rfam family "Bacterial small subunit ribosomal RNA", at positions 524 to 776 of the family's 1533-position model. The record is from RNAcentral.
UACGAAGGGGGCUAACGUUGCUCGGAAUUAUUGGGCGUAAAGCGCACGUAGGCGGUUCGUUAAGUCGGAUGUGAAAGCCCUCGGCUCAACUGAGGAAGUGCACCCGAAACUGGCGAGCUUGAGUACGAAAGAGGAUCGCGGAAUUCCCGGUGUAGAGGUGAAAUUCGUAGAUAGUCGGGAGGAACACCGGUGGCGAAGGCGGCGAUCUGGGUCGAUACUGACGCGUGAGGUGGCGAAAGCGUGGGGAGCAAACAGG